RNAcentral lists this ribosomal RNA (578 nucleotides) under Aeromonas salmonicida. Its description in RNAcentral is "partial 23S ribosomal RNA". It matches the Rfam family "Bacterial large subunit ribosomal RNA", at positions 2267 to 2839 of the family's 2925-position model. RNAcentral also lists the same sequence under 1 other name. Lineage: Bacteria; Pseudomonadati; Pseudomonadota; Gammaproteobacteria; Aeromonadales; Aeromonadaceae. The record is from RNAcentral.
AGUUUGACUGGGGCGGUCUCCUCCCAAAGAGUAACGGAGGAGCACGAAGGUUGGCUAAUCCUGGUCGGACAUCAGGAGGUUAGUGCAAUGGCAUAAGCCAGCUUAACUGCGAGACGGACAGGUCGAGCAGGUACGAAAGUAGGUCAUAGUGAUCCGGUGGUUCUGAAUGGAAGGGCCAUCGCUCAACGGAUAAAAGGUACUCCGGGGAUAACAGGCUGAUACCGCCCAAGAGUUCAUAUCGACGGCGGUGUUUGGCACCUCGAUGUCGGCUCAUCACAUCCUGGGGCUGAAGUCGGUCCCAAGGGUAUGGCUGUUCGCCAUUUAAAGUGGUACGCGAGCUGGGUUCAGAACGUCGUGAGACAGUUCGGUCCCUAUCUGCCGUGGGCGUUGGAUGAUUGAAGGGAGUUGCUCCUAGUACGAGAGGACCGGAGUGAACGAACCUCUGGUGUUCGGGUUGUCACGCCAGUGGCACUGCCCGGUAGCUAAGUUCGGAAUCGAUAACCGCUGAAAGCAUCUAAGCGGGAAGCGAGCCCUGAGAUGAGUCAUCCCUGACCCCUUGAGGGUCCUAAAGGGCCGUU